UUAACAGGAACAAAAUUCUCAUUUCCCACCAUUAACUGUUUCUUUCUCUUCAGGAGUCCUGUACUCCCCGGGAUCUGAGUAAACACAAGUUAUUUUCAGAAUGGGUUAUUAUGUACCUCUUGAGAUUGAAUUGGUUUGUCUGCUACAGCAGAUCUUACAACAACCCUUUCAGAGACAGCAGGCUGCAGAGAGAGCAGGUUACUCCCAGCUUGGGCCAAGGAUCUUAAAGUGAGCUGUUCAUCCUGAGAGAAAACUGACCAAGCAAGAAAGAUGAUCGAGAGAGAUUGAAGCUCAGGCCUUCAAACAGGAUCAGUGGAUCAAGCCACAGGAUCUUUGCUCCCUUACACUGUGUGGACUGAAAUCUAGUACUCUGCUAGCCAAGACAAAGUUGUCCUAGCAACUUUAUAAAAGAUUAAAGAAAGGGACCACUAUAUAUGGUUGCAUCAACAAAUUAUAUUGGUGUUUAUAACUCCGCCUUUUCUAUUCAGCUGUGCAAUUAUUUGAGUCCCCAUAUUUAAGUUCUGCCAAGCCGUCACACUUAACCUCUCAGAAUUCAUGGCCGAUCAGAUACGUACAAGCAAAACAGCAUGUUGAGAUGAAAUCUGUGAAUGCCAGCAUUACCACCUGCAGUGGAAUGAGUUACACUGCAGCUGAGUGAUGAUUGGAAGGUGAAUGUAUUUGUGCCUGCAGGGUAAAUACAGUACAGCUACAGCUUAUACCCUGGUUUCCAGUUAGGUGAAAGGAAAGAACUCUGUGCUGAACCAAACAUCUGUUAAGCUAGUUUGUGUGUGAGCCAAACGUGACUGCCUGUACAUCUUCACCUCAUGGAAUAACUGCUCCACAGAUCUCAAGAUGUACCACAUCCUCAGCUCCAACCUCCAAAGGUAAGAGAAGGAUACGACAGAACUCACCUCAGCUGCAUGCCUUUGAAAAGGUAUAUACAGAAUUCAAUUAAUUACAGAGAUUAUAGUAAAUAUGAAACUCUCUACUGCAUCACUCUCAGAAAGCCACCCUAAGGGGGAGGCUUCCACUUUUGAAACAACAGAAGAUUUGAAGAUACCAAUAUUUGCCCAUAUUUCCUGACCAGCUCCAGCCACUGCAAGAGAUAGCUGUUGAAAGAAGCUAAGUCUGAACUGAGCUAGUCAGGAAUCUAUCAAAUGCUGAUUUGUGAGAGUUGAAAUGAAGAACAAUCACUGUAAUAAUAACCUAUUCAUCACUAAGUAGUGUUGGUCAGGUAUAAUGAUCUUACCAAUAUGAUGUUUAUUCUAGUAUACCGCAAACAUUUUAUACCGAAGCAUCAGAGCAAACAGUUUUGCUAAGUAGAUUUUAUACAUUUAUAAGCCUAUUACACAUAAAUAUUUCCCUAGCAAGCUUUUGUUCUUUUUUUUUAUCAUUUCAUGUUGAGGGUACAGUGCUAGCACCACACAUCCAAUAAAGCACGUAUUUCAGUUGAGCUGUGACUUCAUUUUUAGUGUUAGUUCUUAUUAUAGCAUACCUCUUUUAACAAAGAUGCCAGUAAGUCCAGAAAGUUCUCCUGAUUAUUAUGAACAAUUAAACACAUUGCUACAUACAAUUCAAAAAUCAUGAUUUUAUUUUCAUCUGCUAGAACGUAACUGUUAUUAAAUUGGCCAGAUAUUUCCUUGGCCAGUCAUCUGCUUAGAAAAUCCAUUUCUCCUUAUUUUUUUAAAUCAGGUUCCCUUUUCCUGAAAUA
Molecule: long non-coding RNA, 1711 nt
Organism: Neopsephotus bourkii (Bourke's parrot)
Lineage: Eukaryota; Metazoa; Chordata; Aves; Psittaciformes; Psittacidae
Exons: 4
Source: RefSeq, a predicted model, not a curated record